UGCAAGUCGAACGAGAAAGUGGAGCAAUCCAUGAGUACAGUGGCGACCGGGUGAGUAACACGUGACUAACCUACCUUUGAGUGGGGGAUAACAUCGGGAAACCGAUGCUAAUACCGCAUAACAUCGCAAGAUCAAAGCAGCAAUGCGCUUAAAGAGGGGGUCGCGGCUGAUUAGCUAGUUGGCGGGGUAACGGCCCACCAAGGCGAAGAUCGGUAUCCGGCCUGAGAGGGCGCACGGACACACUGGAACUGAAACACGGUCCAGACUCCUACGGGAGGCAGCAGUGGGGAAUUUUGCGCAAUGGGGGAAACCCUGACGCAGCAACGCCGCGUGGAGGAUGAAGUCCCUUGGGACGUAAACUCCUUUCGACCAAGACGAUAAUGACGGUACUGGUGGAAGAAGCACCGGCUAACUCUGUGCCAGCAGCCGCGGUAAUACAGAGGGUGCAAGCGUUGUUCGGAAUUAUUGGGCGUAAAGGGCGCGUAGGCGGCGCGACAAGUCACCUGUGAAAUCUCCGGGCUUAACUCGGAGCCUGCAGGCGA
RNAcentral lists this ribosomal RNA (542 nucleotides) under uncultured bacterium. Its description in RNAcentral is "bacterial SSU rRNA". It matches the Rfam family "Bacterial small subunit ribosomal RNA", at positions 56 to 630 of the family's 1533-position model. The record is from RNAcentral.